UUAAAGGGUUGAAACUGCUAUAAACAUAGGAUCUCAUUAUGAUCAACAAUUCGUCCAAGGCUAAUAAACUUAAGAAAAUCAGUCUAUGAUCAACAAUUCGUCCAAGGCUAAUAAGCUUAAGAAAAUCAGUCAGAAAAAAAGCAAAAUCUAUUAACAAAACAACAAAUUAGCCUUCGUGAAAAAAUGGAGGCCAAUAAGCUUGUAAUAGUAUUUUUGAUGUGCAUGGUUGUGUUGUCAGCUGUGCGAGUUUCCACGGCUGAUUUCGAAAACUGCUACAAAAACUGUCACAAGGAUUGUGCUGCCUCUGGUCAUGGCUACACUGUCUGUGCAUUGAAAUGUGAGACCGAUUGCAGUUUUAAGCAACUCAAAGAAGAAUUCGAGGAAAUCAUGCCUUGAUCAGGACCAAAGAUGCAGGGAAUCACCUCUAAAAGGAGUUAGGGAAAAUGAAGAAUAAAAUAGUAGAAUUUUGUUUAAAUUAUUAUUAAUUUCUUUUUCCCGUGGCAUUGUAAUGCUAAGAAUUAAACAAAAUAAAAUUACAUUUAAUUAAUUUUUUUUGAUUUAA
Molecule: long non-coding RNA, 562 nt
Organism: Capsicum annuum
Lineage: Eukaryota; Viridiplantae; Streptophyta; Magnoliopsida; Solanales; Solanaceae
Exons: 2
Source: RefSeq, a predicted model, not a curated record